RNAcentral lists this ribosomal RNA (631 nucleotides) under uncultured bacterium. RNAcentral's name for it is "bacterial SSU rRNA". It matches the Rfam family "Bacterial small subunit ribosomal RNA", at positions 219 to 865 of the family's 1533-position model. The record is from RNAcentral.
GAAGGGAGGAGCCUGCGGCCCAUCAGCUAGUUGGUGAGGUAAAAGCUUACCAAGGCUACGACGGGUAGGGGGCCUGAGAGGGCGUCCCCCCACGCUGGAACUGAAACACGGUCCAGACGCCUACGGGUGGCAGCAGGGAGGAGUAUUUGACAAUGGGCGAAAGCCCGAUCGAGCAACGCCGCGUGAGGGAUGAAGGUAUUCGUACUGUAAACCUCUUUUCAGGGAGACGAGAAAGGACGGUAUCCCUGGAAUCAGUCACGGCUAACUACGUGCCAGCAGCCGCGGUAAUACGUAGGUGGCGAGCGUUAUCCGGAUUUACUGGGCGUAAAGCGCUUGUAGGUGGCUUGGUAAGUUGGGCGUGAAAUCUCCGGGCUUAACUCGGAGAGGCCGUCCAAUACUGUCAGGCUAGAGGAUAUUUGGGGAAAGUGGAAUUCCUGGUGUAGUAGUGAAAUGCGUAGAUAUCAGGAGGAACACCCGUGGCGAAGGCGGCUUUCUAAGAUAUUCCUGACACUGAGAAGCGACAGCUAGGGGAGCAAACAGGAUUAGAAACCCUGGUAGUCCUAGCCGUAAACGAUGGAUGCUAGGUGUUGGAGGACUUAACCCCUCCUGUGCCGAAGCUAACGCGUUAAGC